GGGUUGUGAGGUUAAGCGACUAAGCGUACACGGUGGAUGCCCUGGCAGUCAGAGGCGAUGAAGGACGUGCUAAUCUGCGAUAAGCGUCGGUAAGGUGAUAUGAACCGUUAUAACCGGCGAUUUCCGAAUGGGGAAACCCAGUGUGUUUCGACACACUAUCAUUAACUGAAUCCAUAGGUUAAUGAGGCGAACCGGGGGAACUGAAACAUCUAAGUACCCCGAGGAAAAGAAAUCAACCGAGAUUCCCCCAGUAGCGGCGAGCGAACGGGGAGGAGCCCAGAGCCUGAAUCAGUGUGUGUGUUAGUGGAAGCGUCUGGAAAGGCGCGCGAUACAGGGUGACAGCCCCGUACACAAAAAUGCACAUGCUGUGAGCUCGAUGAGUAGGGCGGGACACGUGGUAUCCUGUCUGAAUAUGGGGGGACCAUCCUCCAAGGCUAAAUACUCCUGACUGACCGAUAGUGAACCAGUACCGUGAGGGAAAGGCGAAAAGAACCCCGGCGAGGGGAGUGAAAAAGAACCUGAAACCGUGUACGUACAAGCAGUGGGAGCACGCUUAGGCGUGUGACUGCGUACCUUUUGUAUAAUGGGUCAGCGACUUAUAUUCUGUAGCAAGGUUAACCGAAUAGGGGAGCCGAAGGGAAACCGAGUCUUAACUGGGCGUUAAGUUGCAGGGUAUAGACCCGAAACCCGGUGAUCUAGCCAUGGGCAGGUUGAAGGUUGGGUAACACUAACUGGAGGACCGAACCGACUAAUGUUGAAAAAUUAGCGGAUGACUUGUGGCUGGGGGUGAAAGGCCAAUCAAACCGGGAGAUAGCUGGUUCUCCCCGAAAGCUAUUUAGGUAGCGCCUCGUGAAUUCAUCUCCGGGGGUAGAGCACUGUUUCGGCAAGGGGGUCAUCCCGACUUACCAACCCGAUGCAAACUGCGAAUACCGGAGAAUGUUAUCACGGGAGACACACGGCGGGUGCUAACGUCCGUCGUGAAGAGGGAAACAACCCAGACCGCCAGCUAAGGUCCCAAAGUCAUGGUUAAGUGGGAAACGAUGUGGGAAGGCCCAGACAGCCAGGAUGUUGGCUUAGAAGCAGCCAUCAUUUAAAGAAAGCGUAAUAGCUCACUGGUCGAGUCGGCCUGCGCGGAAGAUGUAACGGGGCUAAACCAUGCACCGAAGCUGCGGCAGCGACGCUUAUGCGUUGUUGGGUAGGGGAGCGUUCUGUAAGCCUGUGAAGGUGUGCUGUGAGGCAUGCUGGAGGUAUCAGAAGUGCGAAUGCUGACAUAAGUAACGAUAAAGCGGGUGAAAAGCCCGCUCGCCGGAAGACCAAGGGUUCCUGUCCAACGUUAAUCGGGGCAGGGUGAGUCGACCCCUAAGGCGAGGCCGAAAGGCGUAGUCGAUGGGAAACAGGUUAAUAUUCCUGUACUUGGUGUUACUGCGAAGGGGGGACGGAGAAGGCUAUGUUGGCCGGGCGACGGUUGUCCCGGUUUAAGCGUGUAGGCUGGUUUUCCAGGCAAAUCCGGAAAAUCAAGGCUGAGGCGUGAUGACGAGGCACUACGGUGCUGAAGCAACAAAUGCCCUGCUUCCAGGAAAAGCCUCUAAGCAUCAGGUAACAUCAAAUCGUACCCCAAACCGACACAGGUGGUCAGGUAGAGAAUACCAAGGCGCUUGAGAGAACUCGGGUGAAGGAACUAGGCAAAAUGGUGCCGUAACUUCGGGAGAAGGCACGCUGAUAUGUAGGUGAAGCGACUUGCUCGUGGAGCUGAAAUCAGUCGAAGAUACCAGCUGGCUGCAACUGUUUAUUAAAAACACAGCACUGUGCAAACACGAAAGUGGACGUAUACGGUGUGACGCCUGCCCGGUGCCGGAAGGUUAAUUGAUGGGGUCAGCGCAAGCGAAGCUCUUGAUCGAAGCCCCGGUAAACGGCGGCCGUAACUAUAACGGUCCUAAGGUAGCGAAAUUCCUUGUCGGGUAAGUUCCGACCUGCACGAAUGGCGUAAUGAUGGCCAGGCUGUCUCCACCCGAGACUCAGUGAAAUUGAACUCGCUGUGAAGAUGCAGUGUACCCGCGGCAAGACGGAAAGACCCCGUGAACCUUUACUAUAGCUUGACACUGAACAUUGAGCCUUGAUGUGUAGGAUAGGUGGGAGGCUUUGAAGUGUGGACGCCAGUCUGCAUGGAGCCGACCUUGAAAUACCACCCUUUAAUGUUUGAUGUUCUAACGUUGACCCGUAAUCCGGGUUGCGGACAGUGUCUGGUGGGUAGUUUGACUGGGGCGGUCUCCUCCUAAAGAGUAACGGAGGAGCACGAAGGUUGGCUAAUCCUGGUCGGACAUCAGGAGGUUAGUGCAAUGGCAUAAGCCAGCUUGACUGCGAGCGUGACGGCGCGAGCAGGUGCGAAAGCAGGUCAUAGUGAUCCGGUGGUUCUGAAUGGAAGGGCCAUCGCUCAACGGAUAAAAGGUACUCCGGGGAUAACAGGCUGAUACCGCCCAAGAGUUCAUAUCGACGGCGGUGUUUGGCACCUCGAUGUCGGCUCAUCACAUCCUGGGGCUGAAGUAGGUCCCAAGGGUAUGGCUGUUCGCCAUUUAAAGUGGUACGCGAGCUGGGUUUAGAACGUCGUGAGACAGUUCGGUCCCUAUCUGCCGUGGGCGCUGGAGAACUGAGGGGGGCUGCUCCUAGUACGAGAGGACCGGAGUGGACGCAUCACUGGUGUUCGGGUUGUCAUGCCAAUGGCACUGCCCGGUAGCUAAAUGCGGAAGAGAUAAGUGCUGAAAGCAUCUAAGCACGAAACUUGCCCCGAGAUGAGUUCUCCCUGACCCUUUAAGGGUCCUGAAGGAACGUUGAAGACGACGACGUUGAUAGGCCGGGUGUGUAAGCGCAGCGAUGCGUUGAGCUAACCGGUACUAAUGAACCGUGAGGCUUAACCUUACAACGCCGAAGCUGUU
This 2930-nucleotide ribosomal RNA is filed under the name Escherichia coli. RNAcentral's name for it is "bacterial LSU rRNA". It matches the Rfam family "Bacterial large subunit ribosomal RNA". Lineage: Bacteria; Pseudomonadati; Pseudomonadota; Gammaproteobacteria; Enterobacterales; Enterobacteriaceae. The record is from RNAcentral. RNAcentral also lists the same sequence under 1 other name.